Long non-coding RNA from Poeciliopsis prolifica (blackstripe livebearer), 215 nucleotides. RefSeq lists it as uncharacterized. NCBI's taxonomy places the organism in Eukaryota, Metazoa, Chordata, Actinopteri, Cyprinodontiformes, Poeciliidae. The transcript has 2 exons. The record is from RefSeq and is a predicted model, not a curated record.
GUUCCCACCGUGGACACCGAGCCCACCUGUCCGCCCGCCUACACACACACACACCCUGCCGCUACCCUGCAGUGAAUCUCUUCCACGCUGCAGCUGUCUACCCCUCAAUUCCCGAUCGCUCCCCCUCCCGAGGCGCUCCUGUGGACCGGACCCGAAUCCCUGUCAUUCCUCGUUCACUGUUGUGUAAAAUAAACCUUGUAAAUAUUUGCACUCCA